Molecule: ribosomal RNA, 478 nt
Filed under: uncultured Planctomycetales bacterium
Lineage: Bacteria; Pseudomonadati; Planctomycetota; Planctomycetia; Planctomycetales
Description: bacterial SSU rRNA
Rfam family: Bacterial small subunit ribosomal RNA
Source: RNAcentral
UUUCGCAAUGCCCGAAAGGGUGACGAAGCGACGCCGCGUGUGGGAAGAAGGCCUUCGGGUUGUAAACCACUGUCGGGAGUUAAGAAAUGCAAGGAUAUGAAUAGUGUCUUUGCUUGACUAAGGCUCCGGAGGAAGCCACGGCUAACUCUGUGCCAGCAGCCGCGGUAAUACAGAGGCGGCAAGCGUUGUUCGGAAUUAUUGGGCGUAAAGAGCACGUAGGCGGCUAUGUAAGUCGGUUGUGAAAGCCUUCCGCUCAACGGGAGAACAGCAUCCGAUACUACAUGGCUUGAGUGCGGGAGGGGAGAGUGGAACUUCUGGUGGAGCGGUGAAAUGCGUAGAUAUCAGAAGGAACGCCGGCGGCGAAAGCGGCUCUCUGGCCCAUAACUGACGCUGAGUGUACGAAAGCUAGGGGAGCAAACGGGAUUAGAUACCCCGGUAGUCCUAGCCGUAAACGAUGGGCACUAAGUAGAGGGGUUUU